UGCCUUUACAUCAAAUUUCGAAUUUGAUCUAAUCAAUUCUGGUUCUGUUGGUUUGUGUUAGAGUUGGUUCUUUUUUCUAUCAAGCUUCAUCAAGCUUGCUCUUAACGGCAUCAAUUUCUUCACCAAGAAACUUCUUUUUCAAAAAGAAUACCUUAAAAUUCAUGAACAUCUCAUGUCAUCUGAAAGGUAGAAGAAGUAUCCUUAAAUAAUAUUUAUCAGACCA
RNAcentral lists this long non-coding RNA (223 nucleotides) under Elaeis guineensis (African oil palm). RNAcentral's name for it is "long non-coding RNA (EGUI_LNC044334)". The record is from RNAcentral. Lineage: Eukaryota; Viridiplantae; Streptophyta; Magnoliopsida; Arecales; Arecaceae.